Long non-coding RNA from Hypanus sabinus (Atlantic stingray), 310 nucleotides. RefSeq lists it as uncharacterized. The transcript has 3 exons. The record is from RefSeq and is a predicted model, not a curated record. Lineage: Eukaryota; Metazoa; Chordata; Chondrichthyes; Myliobatiformes; Dasyatidae.
AGGUUAUGACAGACAGAAGGGGCCAUGACAAGUCCUUGAAUAAAAAGGAUUAAGCCACACAGAAUUUACCAUUGUCAGGGCAAGCAAAAACUUUGUGACAAAAUAAUUUUUUUUGGAGGGAGGUGUUACGUACCCGUGACAUGUGACAGGUGUUGAAGCUAUACUGGACUUGAGGUAACAGUCUUGUGAUGGUGGAGUGACAUCAUUUUCCCACCAGUAGAGGUCAUGUGACAGGUUUUUUGUUACAGGGUAUAAAAGGAGGACACCUCCCUGUGAGGAGGGGCAGUUCGUGGCUGGAUUGCCAUGUUGA